This is a ribosomal RNA of Pteropus vampyrus (large flying fox), 121 nucleotides long. Lineage: Eukaryota; Metazoa; Chordata; Mammalia; Chiroptera; Pteropodidae. The record is from Ensembl.
GUCUACGGCCAUGGUACCCUGAACAAGCUCGGUCCCGUCUAAUCUCGGAAGCUAAGCAGGGUCUGGCCUGGUGUAUUUAUUUGGAUGGGAGACCACCUAGGAAGACCAGGUGCUGUAGGCU